AUGUGUAAGAACUUCUCACAGCACUAUAAAGAGUUGAGUAUUUUAACUUUUCAAACAAUACGGAAUCUCGACAGCAUACAGGUUAACUCUGUUUCUCUUCAUCACCUCCUUGAAUCUGUCAUCGAUCUUCAGGAUGCAAAUCUGUCACACUUUCAUCAUUGGUCUUUCAUGGAUGGCAUUGGCUUCGGAAGUUUAUGGCUGCACUGAGGAUAUUCCAGAAAAGUGUAUCGAGUUUGGUGGCGCUUGCAGCAGAGAUGCGUGCCAGAACGGGCGCAUGGGUUCAUGUGGGUCAGGUCUCCAUUGCUGCCGUCAGCCGUAAGUCUCUCUCUUUCCGACAAAGAGCACUCAAAAUGAACCCACCCUUUCAAUGAGAACACAACACCAAAGUUUUGUGUAGAAUUAUUGAUAUUUUAAUGUUAGUAAAACCUUUUGAUAUUAAGAUGAUUACAUACUGACCAGAAUCCUCCUAUAAGGGACGUAAAAAAUUGUCACUCAUUAAUGAAGUGCUGGUCGUGUUCCUGAACACAUGCUUGAGGUGUGCAUCCAGGACUGCAACCAACCCCACAGUAAUGAGCGGCAAUGUGCCCCCCCAAGACUUACAUGAUUUCCUCUUUAUGAGUACAACAUGGCAAUAGGAUUAUGGCCAUUGUGUUAUUUGUCCCUUUUUAAAAGUUAUGUUGUAAUUUCAUAACAGUCCCUGGGUAAAGGACAGAAAUAGAGAUGGGCAUGAACUUCUAGUUUGAUGUUUCAUGCUGGGGAUUUUUUUUUAUUUUGGCCAAACAGGUGCUCUGUGCUUCCCAGCCCCACCUCCUCCAAUGGGCACCCACUCUGAGGCUGCACCCUGGCUUCCCUGCCCCAUUUUCUGUGAGUGCUGUCUCUGAGUGGGAGUCCAGCAGAGGAAACAGGACUGAGAAGUCUCACUAUCAUCAACAGCACAAUGUUGGACCAUGACAUUAGGUAGAAAACAUUGUAGAGGAAGUAAAAUGGUAUUGAAUACAAUAGUCACUUUCAGAGCAGAAUGGAAGGCUAAAACCAACCAACCAACCAACCAACCAACCAACCAACCAA
This 1068-nucleotide long non-coding RNA is filed under the name Pogona vitticeps (central bearded dragon). RNAcentral describes it as "lncRNA (ENSPVIG00000001548.1)". The record is from RNAcentral. Lineage: Eukaryota; Metazoa; Chordata; Lepidosauria; Squamata; Agamidae.